RNAcentral lists this ribosomal RNA (1470 nucleotides) under Staphylococcus epidermidis. RNAcentral's name for it is "partial 23S ribosomal RNA". It matches the Rfam family "Bacterial large subunit ribosomal RNA", at positions 1463 to 2925 of the family's 2925-position model. The record is from RNAcentral. Lineage: Bacteria; Bacillati; Bacillota; Bacilli; Caryophanales; Staphylococcaceae.
GAUGGGGGGACGCAGUAGGAUAGGCGAAGCGUGCUGUUGGAGUGCACGUCCAAGCAGUAAGGCUGAGUGUUAGGCAAAUCCGGCACUCAUAAGGCUGAGCUGUGAUGGGGAGAGGAAAUUGUUUCCUCGAGUCGUUGAUUUCACACUGCCGAGAAAAGCCUCUAGAUAGAUAACAGGUGCCCGUACCGCAAACCGACACAGGUAGUCAAGAUGAGAAUUCUAAGGUGAGCGAGCGAACUCUCGUUAAGGAACUCGGCAAAAUGACCCCGUAACUUCGGGAGAAGGGGUGCUCUUUAGGGUUCACGCCCAGAAGAGCCGCAGUGAAUAGGCCCAAGCGACUGUUUAUCAAAAACACAGGUCUCUGCUAAACCGUAAGGUGAUGUAUAGGGGCUGACGCCUGCCCGGUGCUGGAAGGUUAAGAGGAGUGGUUAGCUUCUGCGAAGCUACGAAUCGAAGCCCCAGUAAACGGCGGCCGUAACUAUAACGGUCCUAAGGUAGCGAAAUUCCUUGUCGGGUAAGUUCCGACCCGCACGAAAGGCGUAACGAUUUGGGCACUGUCUCAACGAGAGACUCGGUGAAAUCAUAGUACCUGUGAAGAUGCAGGUUACCCGCGACAGGACGGAAAGACCCCGUGGAGCUUUACUGUAGCCUGAUAUUGAAAUUCGGCACAGCUUGUACAGGAUAGGUAGGAGCCUUUGAAACGUGAGCGCUAGCUUACGUGGAGGCGUUGGUGGGAUACUACCCUAGCUGUGUUGGCUUUCUAACCCGCACCACUUAUCGUGGUGGGAGACAGUGUCAGGCGGGCAGUUUGACUGGGGCGGUCGCCUCCUAAAAGGUAACGGAGGCGCUCAAAGGUUCCCUCAGAAUGGUUGGAAAUCAUUCAUAGAGUGUAAAGGCAUAAGGGAGCUUGACUGCGAGACCUACAAGUCGAGCAGGGUCGAAAGACGGACUUAGUGAUCCGGUGGUUCCGCAUGGAAGGGCCAUCGCUCAACGGAUAAAAGCUACCCCGGGGAUAACAGGCUUAUCUCCCCCAAGAGUUCACAUCGACGGGGAGGUUUGGCACCUCGAUGUCGGCUCAUCGCAUCCUGGGGCUGUAGUCGGUCCCAAGGGUUGGGCUGUUCGCCCAUUAAAGCGGUACGCGAGCUGGGUUCAGAACGUCGUGAGACAGUUCGGUCCCUAUCCGUCGUGGGCGUAGGAAAUUUGAGAGGAGCUGUCCUUAGUACGAGAGGACCGGGAUGGACAUACCUCUGGUGUACCAGUUGUCGUGCCAACGGCAUAGCUGGGUAGCUAUGUAUGGACGGGAUAAGUGCUGAAAGCAUCUAAGCAUGAAGCCCCCCUCAAGAUGAGAUUUCCCAACUUCGGUUAUAAGAUCCCUCGAAGAUGACGAGGUUAAUAGGUUCGAGGUGGAAGCGUGGUGACACGUGGAGCUGACGAAUACUAAUCGAUCGAAGACUUAAUCAAUUUUUUAAA